UGGGGAAUAUUGCACAAUGGGGGAAACCCUGAUGCAGCGACGCCGCGUGAGCGAAGAAGGUUUUCGUAUUGUAAUGCUUUGUCCUAUGAGAAGAUAAUGACGGUAUCAUAGGAGGAAGCCCUGGCUAAAUCCGUGCCAGCAGCCGCGGUAAUACGUAUGGGGCGAGCUUUGUCCAGAAUUAUUUGGCGUAAAGGGUACGUAGUCGGUCUCUUAAGUCAGGUGUGAAAGCGUGGGGCUUAACCUCAUUAAGCACUUGAAACUGAUAGACUUGAGUGAAGACGAGGAAAGUUGAAUUCCUCGUGUAGCGAUGUAAUGCUUAGCUAUUAGGUGGAAUACCGUUGGCGAAGGCGGCUUUUUGUCCUGCAACUCACACUGAGGCGCGAACGCGUGGGGAGCAAACAGG
RNAcentral lists this ribosomal RNA (403 nucleotides) under Verrucomicrobiota bacterium. RNAcentral's name for it is "Verrucomicrobia bacterium partial 16S ribosomal RNA". It matches the Rfam family "Bacterial small subunit ribosomal RNA", at positions 355 to 776 of the family's 1533-position model. The record is from RNAcentral. Lineage: Bacteria; Pseudomonadati; Verrucomicrobiota.